AAAGCCAUAUAAAAAAAUAAAAAAAAAGAGUGUGGGCUCAUGAAAUUACUUUCCAAUAAAUAAACCAGAAGAGGACAAUUAAGAUUGACAAUUAAUCUAAUUGAAGGCAAAGCCAUAUUGUCUUCUACAGGAACAAUAUAAUCUGAGGCCAGAGUUUGCAUAAUAAGCAUGUACAAAAUUACUGUUUCAUAUCCUAACUUUGAUUGGGAAGAAUCUUAGCAGGAAGACAACUAAUGGAAAAACAAGUGGCCAAAUUUGAUUCAAU
Molecule: unclassified non-coding RNA, 265 nt
Filed under: Hevea brasiliensis (rubber tree)
Lineage: Eukaryota; Viridiplantae; Streptophyta; Magnoliopsida; Malpighiales; Euphorbiaceae
Source: RNAcentral